Molecule: long non-coding RNA, 340 nt
Organism: Stylophora pistillata
Lineage: Eukaryota; Metazoa; Cnidaria; Anthozoa; Scleractinia; Pocilloporidae
Source: RefSeq, a predicted model, not a curated record
CAGACUUCAAUUAAUCAUCACCGCCUCAGCUUGCAAAAUAACUUUCCAAUGCUUUUUCGAGGUCUUAGAAACUGAAACUAUCAGUCCCUUUUGAAUAGCACAUUACCGCCAUCCUCCAGUGGUAUUGUGAGAACCACUAAAAAUUUAUCCGAUGGCAUAGACAAGUGAGGUGGAAAGCGAGGCGGGAAGCCAACGUUUUUGUGAAAAAAGGUGAUCAUAGAAAGUGCAUGGACCAUAUUCAAAGCUGGAGGAUUUUCUUUGAAUCCAGAUCAAAUCAAAGUCGUAGAGAUAUCAAUGCUUCCGGCUCUAACAAGGUGAAUUUUGUGGAUAUAAACAGACU